Molecule: non-coding RNA, 221 nt
Filed under: Paenibacillus ferrarius
Lineage: Bacteria; Bacillati; Bacillota; Bacilli; Caryophanales; Paenibacillaceae
Description: T-box sequence
Rfam family: T-box leader
About the family: Uncharged tRNA acts as the effector for transcription antitermination of genes in the T-box leader family.
Source: RNAcentral
CGAACAUUAAUGAACAGGACAGUAGUUCUUGUCGGACAGUCGCAGCGAGCCGGAAGUGGUGGGAACCGGUACGAAUGUCAAGAACGAAGCGGGUCUGGGAAAUGGUCUUCCGAAACAAGAAGUAGGGAGAUCCGGCAUAAGCCGUUAUCGUAGGAGUGGUUAAAUCAGCAGAUUUAACACUUAGAGUGGUACCGCGGGAAUGAACAGCUCUCGUCUCUUAU